CUACGGGUUGCUCCAGUGGGGAAUAUUGGACAAUGGGGGAAACCCUGAUCCAGCAAUGCCGCGUGUGUGAAGAAGGCCUGCGGGUUGUAAAGCACUUUCGGUUGGGAGGACUGCUUCUAGCACUAAUAUUGUUGGAAGUUGACGUUACCUUCAGAAGAAGCACCGGCUAACUGCCGUGCCAGCAGCCGCGGUAAUACGGAGGGUGCAUGCGUUAAUCGGAAUUACUGGGCGUAAAGCGCGCGUAGGCGGCUAGAUCAGUCGGGUGUGAAAGCCCCGGGCUUAACCUGGGAACUGCAUCCGAUACUGUCUAGCUUGAGUACAGGAGAGGAGAGUGGAAUUCCACAUGUAGCGGUGAAAUGCGUAGAUAUGUGGAGGAACACCAAUGGCGAAGGCAGCUCUCUGGCCUGAUACUGACGCUGAGGUGCGAAAGCGUGGGGAGCAAACAGGAUUAGAUACCCGCGUAGUC
This 466-nucleotide ribosomal RNA is filed under the name uncultured bacterium. Its description in RNAcentral is "partial 16S ribosomal RNA". It matches the Rfam family "Bacterial small subunit ribosomal RNA", at positions 339 to 795 of the family's 1533-position model. The record is from RNAcentral.